UCAUUACGUGGUCUUUACGACGAAAUGAUGUACUUCUUCUUUACGACGAAAUGUUUUCCUCGCUAAGUUACGAUGAAUUGGCGAGGAAAUAUGCGUUACGACGAACGAUUAACGAUGAAACGUGUUUUCUCGUUAAGUCCUCGUAAAGCCUCUUUUACGACGAACUCACGAAGAAUACCGCCGUCGUUAAUCUCAUGUUUUCUUGUAGUGAUAGUUGCUUUCCAAGCGCCACUCA
Molecule: long non-coding RNA, 235 nt
Filed under: Brassica napus (rape)
Lineage: Eukaryota; Viridiplantae; Streptophyta; Magnoliopsida; Brassicales; Brassicaceae
Description: long non-coding RNA (BNAP_LNC025092)
Source: RNAcentral